UGGGGAAUAUUGCACAAUGGGCGCAAGCCUGAUGCAGCCAUGCCGCGUGUAUGAAGAAGGCCUUCGGGUUGUAAAGUACUUUCAGUGGGGAGGAAGGUGGUAAGGUUAAUAACCUUAUCAAUUGACGUUACCGACAGAAGAAGCACCGGCUAACUCCGUGCCAGCAGCCGCGGUAAUACGGAGGGUGCAAGCGUUAAUCGGAAUUACUGGGCGUAAAGCGCACGCAGGCGGUUGAUUGAGUCAGAUGUGAAAUCCCCGGGCUUAACCCGGGAAUUGCAUCUGAUACUGGUCAGCUAGAGUCUUGUAGAGGGGGGUAGAAUUCCAUGUGUAGCGGUGAAAUGCGUAGAGAUGUGGAGGAAUACCGGUGGCGAAGGCGGCCCCCUGGACAAAGACUGACGCUCAGGUGCGAAAGCGUGGGGAGCAAACAGG
RNAcentral lists this ribosomal RNA (429 nucleotides) under Chloroflexota bacterium. Its description in RNAcentral is "Chloroflexi bacterium partial 16S ribosomal RNA". It matches the Rfam family "Bacterial small subunit ribosomal RNA", at positions 355 to 776 of the family's 1533-position model. The record is from RNAcentral. Lineage: Bacteria; Bacillati; Chloroflexota.